UUUCAAAACAUAGUAUUUGCUCUAGGGUUUUGUAUAACCAAGAGAGAGAGAAAGAAAUUACGGUAGAAAGAGAGAGAGAGGCAGGAAAGAGACACGGCGGCGGCGUUAGGGUUCCGCCACAAACACAACGACGGUGGCGACUGUGGUUGACGUCGCAAGCUCCGGUUCCAGCAAGAGAAGAAUGUUUUUUCAGCAGAAUUCGGCAAUCUUGAUUUGGUUUUGUUUCACAUUUUCUCCACCAGUACAACCUUAUUUGAUUUAUGGGCUACGUGUUUUGUUUUGCUUGCCUAUUGUACACGCGUCUUCUUCACUCUUCAUCAAUGCUUUCUUAUAGCUGGAAGGGCUUAUGCCAGCAAUGUUGAUGAAGCGACAUUCAGAAAUGAUAGCUUUUGGGAUGAUGGGCAUGAUGUACAACGAAGGGUGCAAGUUCAUUCAAGUUAGUUAAGAGUUAUUAAAGUAGGCGGGAUGGACAAGUUUUGUGUUUUGAUACAAUUAAAGCGGGUCAGGAUAUCCGCGAUAAAAUCUCAGGUGCGGUAGAAUCAUGUUCUAGAAGAAAUUUGCCAGGGGCAUAGUCACAUGGAACACGAUACGCUCCGAUACACGGUACGAAAACCGGUACACAAUUCGGGCCUUUCUAAAAAUCGGUACGUUGGGGAGUAAGCUCAUUUGGGAACGCAAAUUCGGUACGUGGUACGAUGUAUCCUAUGGCGUAACACUGUAGUCUGGUACACAUAUCAUAUAUAUUGUGUGCUAGAUUGAUUGUUACAGCAGGUAUUUAUAGUUAACAUGGGAUGGGUAAUAAUUAACGUGUGUUAAUUGUAGUGUGAAAAGUUAAUGGCGGGGAAAAAUUGUUCACUUACCUCUGUUAUAUAAAAAGCGGGAAAAAGUUAAUAGCUUUUCAAAUUCCGGUACAUGAAUCUGGCCAUAGCGGAACACCGGCCAGUACAAACGGAAACACGUUUCGGAUUAAUUAAAAACGUGUAUUUACCGAUUGGAACACUAUUAUAGUACACAAUCGGGAACGUUCCAAUUUAGCGAUCCGUACACGUACCAGAGGCGAUUGGGACGACUCUGUACCACGAUUUGGUACGACUGAUCUGGUACGCGAUACGCGGGUCUUUUAGCGUUUCCUGUGACUAUGGUCAGGGGUGCCCAACAAAGUUCAUGAAACAAGAUUUCUGAUCAUGUACUAUCAUCAAAAGAUGUGGUAAAGAUGCAACUGUUAUAUAUCCAUGUAUAACUCUCAUUCUUUAACUUAAAAAACAGCUAAUAUCUGCUAUAAUUGCAGGGAGACGUGAUCCAAGAACUUGCAGGAAAGAAUGAUAGAAACUACAUCCAAGUAGCAGUUUUGCCAUAUUAUCAAAUUGACGCCUAUGUUUGCAUCGCUACCAGACCAGGAAUAGAGUUCUGGCGACCCUUCAGUUUCCGAUGAAGCUUCGGUUAAGUUUUGUUCUCCGGCAAGUUUCUGCCCAGGAUAACACCGGUGUGGUGGUUUUGACUGAUACAUUACUGAUCUCUAGCAUGUUGUUUUACUCAUGAAAUAUACCUGUAUGUUUUUGUAAUUCAACUUGAUUGAUGUUUUUUAAUUUUUGAAAUGUAAAAGGUUUGACAUGGUUAAUGUUUAAUGCUAUCCAACAUUGGGCUUC
Molecule: long non-coding RNA, 1646 nt
Organism: Helianthus annuus (common sunflower)
Lineage: Eukaryota; Viridiplantae; Streptophyta; Magnoliopsida; Asterales; Asteraceae
Exons: 5
Source: RefSeq, a predicted model, not a curated record